RNAcentral lists this non-coding RNA (69 nucleotides) under Bacillus cereus. Lineage: Bacteria; Bacillati; Bacillota; Bacilli; Caryophanales; Bacillaceae. The record is from RNAcentral.
AGCCGAAACAGAGAAGAAAUUCUCUGUCAUGGGAGGGUGAUGCCUCCUGUCUGAUGAUGGCAGUCGAAA